This 885-nucleotide ribosomal RNA is filed under the name Laricifomes officinalis. RNAcentral's name for it is "eukaryotic LSU rRNA". It matches the Rfam family "Eukaryotic large subunit ribosomal RNA", at positions 1 to 858 of the family's 3401-position model. Lineage: Eukaryota; Fungi; Basidiomycota; Agaricomycetes; Polyporales; Laricifomitaceae. The record is from RNAcentral.
UGACCUCUGACCUCAAAUCAGGUAGGAUUACCCGCUGAACUUAAGCAUAUCAAUAAGCGGAGGAAAAGAAACUAACAAGGAUUCCCCUAGUAACUGCGAGUGAAGCGGGAAGAGCUCAAAUUUAAAAUCUGGUGGUCUCUGGCCGUCCGAGUUGUAGUCUGGAGAAGUGCUUUCCGCGCUGGACCGUGUACAAGUCCCUUGGAACAGGGCGUCAUAGAGGGUGAGAAUCCCGUCUUUGACACGGACUACCAGUGCUUUGUGAUGCGCUCUCAAAGAGUCGAGUUGUUUGGGAAUGCAGCUCAAAAUGGGUGGUAAAUUCCAUCUAAAGCUAAAUAUUGGCGAGAGACCGAUAGCGAACAAGUACCGUGAGGGAAAGAUGAAAAGCACUUUGGAAAGAGAGUUAAACAGUACGUGAAAUUGCUGAAAGGGAAACACUUGAAGUCAGUCGCGUCGGCCAGAACUCANGCCUUGCUCUUUUGCUCGGUGCACUUUCUGGUUGACGGGCCAGCAUCGAUUUUGACCGUUGGAUAAAGGUUGGGGGAAUGUGGCACCUUCGGGUGUGUUUAUAGCCCUCGGUCACAUACAACGGUUGGGAUCGAGGAACUCAGUACGCCUUUGUGGCCGGGGCCUGUCCCACGUACACGUACUUAGGAUGCUGGCGUAAUGGCUUUAAAUGACCCGUCUUGAAACACGGACCAAGGAGUCUAACAUGCCUGCGAGUGUUUGGGUGGAAAACCCGAGCGCGCAAUGAAAGUGAAAGUUGAGAUCUCUGUCGUGGAGAGCAUCGACGCCCGGACCAGACCUUCUGUGACGGAUCCGCGGUAGAGCAUGUAUGUUGGGACCCGAAAGAUGGUGAACUAUGCCUGAAUAGGGUGAAGCCAGAGG